GCAAGUCGAACGGGGUCCUUCGGGGCCCAGUGGCGCACGGGUGCGUAACGCGUAUGUAACCUACCUCAAACUGGGGGAUAGCCCGGAGAAAUCCGGAUUAAUACCGCAUAACACCUUUCGAUGGCAUCUGAGGAAGGUUAAAGAUUUAUUGGUUUGAGAUGGGCAUGCGUGCCAUUAGCUAGUUGGCGGGGUAAGGGCCCACCAAGGCGACGAUGGCUAGGGGUUCUGAGAGGACGGUCCCCCACACUGGCACUGAGAUACGGGCCAGACUCCUACGGGAGGCAGCAGUAGGGAAUAUUGGGCAAUGGGCGGAAGCCUGACCCAGCCAUGCCGCGUGCAGGAUGAAGGCCUUCUGGGUUGUAAACUGCUUUUACAGGGGAAGAAAACGCCCAUGCGUGGGAAACUGACGGUACCCUGGGAAUAAGCACCGGCUAACUCCGUGCCAGCAGCCGCGGUAAUACGGAGGGUGCAAGCGUUGUCCGGAUUUAUUGGGUUUAAAGGGUGCGUAGGCGGCCCAUUAAGUCAGCGGUGAAAGCCCGGGGCUCAACCCCGGAACCGCCGUUGAUACUGGUGGGCUUGAGUAUGGACGAGGUUGGCGGAAUUGAGGGUGUAGCGGUGAAAUGCUUAGAUACCCUCAAGAACACCGAUUGCGUAGGCAGCUAACUAGGCCAUAACUGACGCUGAGGCACGAAAGCGUGGGGAGCGAACAGGAUUAGAUACCCUGGUAGUCCACGCCGUAAACGAUGACUACUCGAUGUCGGCGACAGACUGUC
Molecule: ribosomal RNA, 773 nt
Filed under: Adhaeribacter sp. MJB25
Lineage: Bacteria; Pseudomonadati; Bacteroidota; Cytophagia; Cytophagales; Hymenobacteraceae
Description: bacterial SSU rRNA
Rfam family: Bacterial small subunit ribosomal RNA
Source: RNAcentral